RNAcentral lists this ribosomal RNA (479 nucleotides) under uncultured bacterium. Its description in RNAcentral is "bacterial SSU rRNA". It matches the Rfam family "Bacterial small subunit ribosomal RNA", at positions 29 to 506 of the family's 1533-position model. The record is from RNAcentral.
ACGAACGUUGGCGGCGUGGAUUAGGCAUGCAAGUCGAACGAAUCUCAGCUUUGUAGCAAUACCGAGCUGGGGGAAGUGGCGAAAGGGGCAGUAAGGCGUGGGUAACCUACCCCGGGGACCGGGAUAGCCGUCCUAACGGAUGGGUAAUACCGGGCGAUAUGGCGAGCUCGCAUGGGCAGGCCAUGAAAUGAAUUUCGCCUCGGGAGGGGCUCACGUGGUAUUAGCUAGUUGGUGGGGUGAUGGCCUACCAAGGCAAAGAUGCCUAGCAGGUGUGAGAGCACGACCUGCGCCACUGGCACUGAGACACUGGCCAGACUCCUACGGGAGGCUGCAGUCGAGGAUCUUCGGCAAUGGGCGCAAGCCUGACCGAGCGACGCCGCGUGCGCGAUGAAGGCCUUCGGGUUGUAAAGCGCUGUCGAGGGGGAGGAAAGCCCGCAAGGGUCUGACCUAUCCCUGGAGGAAGCACGGGCUAAGUUCGU